CGGCAAAAGCUCAAAUUUGAAAUCCUUCGGGAGUUGUAAUUUGUAGGUUGGGAGACCCCGCGGCUAGUGGCACCAAGUCCCUUGGAACAGGGCGCCUUAGAGGGUGAGAGCCCCGUAGGUACCACAACACCGUCUUGUGUCUCCUCUCCAAA
This 152-nucleotide ribosomal RNA is filed under the name Sungouiella intermedia. Its description in RNAcentral is "[Candida] intermedia partial large subunit ribosomal RNA". It matches the Rfam family "Eukaryotic large subunit ribosomal RNA", at positions 99 to 261 of the family's 3401-position model. The record is from RNAcentral. Lineage: Eukaryota; Fungi; Ascomycota; Pichiomycetes; Serinales; Metschnikowiaceae.